This 244-nucleotide ribosomal RNA is filed under the name uncultured bacterium. RNAcentral's name for it is "partial 16S ribosomal RNA". It matches the Rfam family "Bacterial small subunit ribosomal RNA", at positions 265 to 521 of the family's 1533-position model. The record is from RNAcentral.
GCGCUCAGGCGACGACGGGUAGCCGGCCUGAGAGGGUGACCGGCCACAUUGGGACUGAGAUACGGCCCAGACUCCUACGGGAGGCAGCAGUGGGGAAUAUUGCACAAUGGGCGCAAGCCUGAUGCAGCGACGCCGCGUGGGGGAUGACGGCCUUCGGGUUGUAAACCCCUUUCACCAGGGACGAAGCUUUUUUGACGGUACCUGCAAAAAAAGGACCGGCCAACUACCUGCCCACAGCCGCGGG